AGUCCAUGAUAAAGACAACCUCAAUAAUUCUUUAAAUCUAUCCCAGGCAUCACAUAAAGACUCUUCUUUCUUUUGAACAAACUUAGUGAUCUAGUUCCUGAGUUA
This is a small nucleolar RNA of Dioscorea cayenensis subsp. rotundata (Guinea yam), 105 nucleotides long. The record is from RefSeq and is a predicted model, not a curated record. Lineage: Eukaryota; Viridiplantae; Streptophyta; Magnoliopsida; Dioscoreales; Dioscoreaceae.